Long non-coding RNA from Saccostrea cuccullata (small rock oyster), 1058 nucleotides. RefSeq lists it as uncharacterized. Lineage: Eukaryota; Metazoa; Mollusca; Bivalvia; Ostreida; Ostreidae. The transcript has 3 exons. The record is from RefSeq and is a predicted model, not a curated record.
AUUUAUCAGUUUAUGUAUUUUUGAAUCUAUUUCUAUUAAAAAAUAUAAGUUGUUCGUAAUUUUUUCUUUGAUUUGCGACAAUUGCCAUAAAAUGCGCAGUUCCGUAGCGAAUGUCAACAUGUCGUUUCCCGUAGAAAACCCCGACAGGAUUGUUUCGUAAAAUCUACAGGCUGUGAUCAUUAUUGAAGCAUUGUAGAAGCCCAGGGAUGAUUAAACCAAUUUUAAGUCACCCAUUUCUUUAUGCCCGGGACACCCGAUCAACCAAAAGAAACUUGAAGGUCACAAACAUGCGAGAUUGCAGACCCACAUUGCCUCGAUCGCCUGAUGUCAUGUCGUGUCACUGUGCAGUGAGAUUUUACAUGCAAAAACAUUGGACUCUCAGCAGGUGAACAGAUGUUCAGCAAGAAAUUCUCACAUCAAAUGCUGUAGAUUACACUGAUAUACCCCCCCCCCCCAAAGAAAAAAAGAACAGAGAGACCAAUCAUUAACAGCUUGAGACUUAGUGCACAUAACCUUGCCACAGAAAAGGGGAUCGAGAGAAUUGCCUAUUAAUACUCCCUAAUGAAAGAUUUUAUAAAUUAUUUGUAACACAGGGGAGAUUUAAGAUGGUUUUUAUUUUCAAUUCAGCUACCAAAAAUACAAUAAUUAUAAGAUAACUUUUGAAAGGAAGUUGAUGUAUUUUUUUCUUGAAAGGAAAAGUAUCAAAUUUGUCUCAUAUACCUUUGAUAGUCAUGUCCAGAAAUACUGAAAAUAACACUUAUUUAUUAAGAAAUAUCAUAUAUUUAGAAAUCAUUUUUAUACAUAAUUAUUGUGUAUUAUUGUGUAAAUUAUCUUAUUGUAUGAUUUAUGUAUAGCCUCAAAAUCUAGAAACAGUGUAUUGUUUAAAAUUUUAUGAAUAAUUGCUGAUUCUUAUACCAGUAUGUUGCGCCUUUAACAAUUAUUGUAAUUGUGUUAGCGCCGAUAAAUAUUUAUAUACAUAAUUAUACUUCUCUGGUAUAUAUACAUGCAUGUGAUAUAUUUGUUCAUGUACAAUACAUCUAUUAAUUAAGAUUCCAUAA